This 752-nucleotide ribosomal RNA is filed under the name Placopsis gelida. RNAcentral's name for it is "SSU rRNA". It matches the Rfam family "Eukaryotic small subunit ribosomal RNA", at positions 106 to 865 of the family's 1831-position model. The record is from RNAcentral. Lineage: Eukaryota; Fungi; Ascomycota; Lecanoromycetes; Trapeliales; Trapeliaceae.
UCAGUUAUCGUUUAUUUGAUAGUACCUACUUACUUGGAUAACCGUGGUAAUUCUAGAGCUAAUACAUGCUAAAAACCUCGACUUCGGAAGGGGUGUAUUUAUUAGAUAAAAAACCAAUGCCCUCCGGGGCUCCCUGGUGAUUCAUAAUAACUAAACGAAUCGCAUGGCCUUGCGCCGGCGAUGGUUCAUUCAAAUUUCUGCCCUAUCAACUUUCGAUGGUAGGAUAGUGGCCUACCAUGGUGGCAACGGGUAACGGGGAAUUAGGGUUCUAUUCCGGAGAGGGAGCCUGAGAAACGGCUACCACAUCCAAGGAAGGCAGCAGGCGCGCAAAUUACCCAAUCCCGACACGGGGAGGUAGUGACAAUAAAUACUGAUGUGGAGCUCUUUAGGGUUUCACAAUUGGAAUGAGAAAAAUCUAAACCACUUAAACGAGGAACAAUUGGAGGGCAAGUCUGGUGCCAGCAGCCGCGGUAAUUCCAGCUCCAAUAGCGUAUAUUAAAGUUGUUGCAGUUAAAAAGCUCGUAGUUGAACCUUGGGCCUGGCCGGCUGGUCCGCCUCACCGCGUGCACUGGUUCGGCCGGGCCUUUCCUCCUGGGGAACCGCAUGCCCUUCACUGGGUGUGCCGGGGAAUCAGGACUUUUACUUUGAAAAAAUUAGAGUGUUCAAAGCAGGCAUUUGCUCGAAUACAUUAGCAUGGAAUAAUAGAAUAGGACGUUGUGGUUCUAUUUUGUUGGUUUCUAGGACCGCCGUAU